GCGUGAGUGAAGAAGGCCUUAGGGUUGUAAAGCUCUUUCAGUGGUGAAGAUAAUGACGGUAGCCACAGAAGAAGCCCCGGCCAACUCCGUGCCAGCAGCCGCGGUAAUACGGAGGGGGCUAGCGUUGUUCGGAAUUACUGGGCGUAAAGCGCGCGUAGGCGGGCUGGCCAGUUGGGGGUGAAAUCCCGAGGCUUAACCUCGGAACUGCCCUCAAUACUGUCAGCCUCGAGUCCGGGAGAGGUGAGUGGAAUUCCUAGUGUAGAGGUGAAAUUCGU
RNAcentral lists this ribosomal RNA (275 nucleotides) under uncultured bacterium. Its description in RNAcentral is "partial 16S ribosomal RNA". It matches the Rfam family "Bacterial small subunit ribosomal RNA", at positions 399 to 691 of the family's 1533-position model. The record is from RNAcentral.